Molecule: long non-coding RNA, 1094 nt
Organism: Mustela lutreola (European mink)
Lineage: Eukaryota; Metazoa; Chordata; Mammalia; Carnivora; Mustelidae
Exons: 3
Source: RefSeq, a predicted model, not a curated record
AGCGGCGGAGGCCCGGGGCCGGGAAGCCUGGGCGCGCGGGGCGCGCGGGGCGCGCGGGGCGGGCGCGGAGGGGCGGAAGGGGAGGCCGGAUGGGGUGAGGGUAGAACCCGGGAGGGCGCUGUCUGUGAGUGGCGCCAGGAUAGAUGUGCCCAGCGCAGCCUCUGCACACUCUCCUGGGAACAAUGAGACCCAACAAAGGGUUCUCGGCUCUCCCACGUGGUGAACCGCGUCCUUCGCUCGCUCUGCAAAAAGGCGCCAGGCACACUGUCGCCAGGGGAAACCCCAUCAGGCUCCUGACCCUACUUCCUUGGGCUCAGACAUCCCCCUUCAAGCCUGGAAACGGCGCAGGCCCAGAAACCUAGUCCAGAAGUUACCCCCAGGAAACCCACAGCCCCCGAGACACUCUUUCAUAGGGAGCACUCUUACCAUUGCUAAAUUGGGAGCAGUUAUGGAAUUGCCUGCGAUCAUACCUGGGGAAUGGUGCGGAUGCUGUGCCGAGGCCAUCAGACCAUUUGCUUCCCAGACGUGCGCCCUUAGCUCGGACUUUCACUUCUUCAUCACGGUCCUGAAGGACAAAGCGGCCCGUGUUCUCAUUGUGCACUUGUAUGUUGUGCUAGAAGCUUGGCUCUAGAUCCCAGCGUGCGGAGCCACAGUCUGCCUUGACUGCCCGGCCUCUGUGCAGGACAUUUGGCUAGCAAAUGUAGCCUGGAAGUUUGCCUUCUCUCUGCAUAAGGUCUCCCAGCCCCCUCUGCCUUUUGUAGAAGGCAUUCACUGCUUUUGGGUUCCUCACUAAAUCAUAAGCUCCAUGUGAGCUCUAUCUCCAGAUUCUAACUUAAAAAAAAAAAAAAAAAAAUUCGGGGGCACCUGGGUGGCUCAGUGGGUUAGGCCUCUGCUUUCGGUUCAGGUCAUGAUCUCAGGGUCCUGGGAUGGAGCCCAGCAUCAGGCUCUCUGCUCAGCAGGGAGUCUCCUUCCACCACCCCGCCCCCCCACCCCGCCUCUUUGCCUACUUGUGACCUCUCUCUCUCUCUCUCUCUGUCAAAUAAAAUUUAAAAAUCCUAAAAAAAAUAUUUGGGAAGAUGUGCAAAACAUGUGUA